This is a long non-coding RNA of Rosa rugosa (rugosa rose), 1027 nucleotides long. RefSeq lists it as uncharacterized. The transcript has 2 exons. Lineage: Eukaryota; Viridiplantae; Streptophyta; Magnoliopsida; Rosales; Rosaceae. The record is from RefSeq and is a predicted model, not a curated record.
GCUAUCUUUUCUCAUCAGUUUUCGAGCUUUCCAAAAGCUAACCUCCCAAUUUUCAAUUCAACCCCUCUUGGUGUUUGGUUUGAGGGAAAAGAAAAUUGGAGGAGAUGGGUGAAGAAGUUAUGGGGAAGGUUAUGAGGGGGGUUUAAGUUCAGUAGUGUAAAUUGAGUGACCACCACCAAAGUUCUUGUUCCACUAAUCAAGUUUAAGUAGUUAGCUCCAUGGAAGUGUUGUAUACACUGUUUAGUUAUUGUGAUUUUUCUCUGAAAGCACUGAGCUGGGGAAUAUUAUAUGAAAUGGAAUUUUUUUGAAUUCUGGCAUUUAUGAUCAAACCCCUGAGCAAUUCUACUUUCAUGAAUGGUGACAUGUCCAGCAAUUAUACCUAUGCCUUUUUUUUUUUAAUGCAAUUUUACUUGUGCACGUUUAUGCUUAUAUAUGAAAAGCUGAGAAAAUUCGAUUGCCUUUUUUUAUUAAUGCAAUUUUACUUGUGCACGUUUAUAAUAUCAAUUACAUUGGAACAACUCAAUGCAGAUGGCUUACAAUGAAGAGGAAUUGGAAGAGUGAGCUGUUGAUGAUGAUCAUAAGUACUACUCAGGCUCAUACUUGCAAUGCGUUUUCUUCUUUAAUUUUGAAGCAGCCAGGUUUGAAGAUUUCCUCCAGUUGUCCCAAACUGAAGCAGGGUUAGAUAUGAGUGCUGCAGUUCUGAAGAAUUUGAAAGCAUCAGAAGUUGCUGGUGGAGCCAAGGAAGUAUGCAGAGAAGCCAGCCAAGUUUGUGAGUCCAAAAUGCAGCCCCCACUUCAUCCAGCAGCCUCGUUGAAUCAGCUUACCUCUUUUGUAGUUUGGCUAAUGGCAAAACCAAAGUACUUGUCAUGUAUAGUUCCUUGGUGGAGUAAAAGAGAUGUUAGCCGUGAUCUUUUCAUGGCUGGUACUUAGAAUUUUCUUUGUUUUUGUUUGUUUAUAAAGGAUACUCGACAAACCUUACUUUUAUGUAAUUAAUCAUGUUGAAGAUAAAUAGAUUUUCUUUUCACCA